This 272-nucleotide long non-coding RNA is filed under the name Vulpes vulpes (red fox). RNAcentral's name for it is "lncRNA (ENSVVUG00000023899.1)". Lineage: Eukaryota; Metazoa; Chordata; Mammalia; Carnivora; Canidae. The record is from RNAcentral.
AUGGGAAGAAUUCAAAACCUUAUUUUAAAAAAAAGGAAUGAAGAAUGUCGCUGCAGUGAAGACGACUACAUCAGGCAUUGUGAGAAGGUUUACAUAACUAUAAUGAUGAGUAAAUGUGAUGACACAGAAAAAUUGUGUCAGGGACAUUAAAAUGGAAGGAAACAAGCUAACAUUUCUUAGUACUUAAGGUGAGAUAAUUUUUAAAUCAUUUGUUAAAAUCACUAUAUUCUGUUCAUUUGAAUGUAACCAAAAAGUAGGGGAAAUAUAUAUAU